CUACUGGGGUUUCUAAUCCUGUUCGCUCCCCAUGCUUUCGCUCCUCAGCGUCAGUUAAUGCCCAGAGACCUGCCUUCGCCAUCGGUGUUCCUCCUGAUAUCUGCGCAUUUCACCGCUACACCAGGAAUUCCAGUCUCCCCUACAUCACUCUAGUCUGCCCGUACCCACCGCAGAUCCGGAGUUGAGCCCCGGACUUUCACGGCAGACGCGACAAACCGCCUACGAGCUCUUUACGCCCAAUAAUUCCGGAUAACGCUUGCGCCCUACGUAUUACCGCGGCUGCUGGCAC
This 289-nucleotide ribosomal RNA is filed under the name uncultured Arthrobacter sp. RNAcentral's name for it is "partial 16S ribosomal RNA". Lineage: Bacteria; Bacillati; Actinomycetota; Actinomycetes; Micrococcales; Micrococcaceae. The record is from RNAcentral.